GAUCAUGGCUCAGGAUGAACGCUAGCUACAGGCUUAACACAUGCAAGUCGAGGGGCAGCAUUUUAGUUUGCUUGCAAACUAAAGAUGGCGACCGGCGCACGGGUGAGUAGCACGUAUCCAACCUGCCGAUAACUCUGGGAUAGCCUUUCGAAAGAAAGAUUAAUACCGGAUGGCAUAGGAUUAUCGCAUGAUAAUCCUAUUAAAGAAUUUCGGUUAUCGAGUGGGGAUGCGUU
Molecule: ribosomal RNA, 233 nt
Filed under: uncultured bacterium
Lineage: Bacteria
Description: partial 16S ribosomal RNA
Rfam family: Bacterial small subunit ribosomal RNA
Source: RNAcentral